UACAGAGGGGGCAAGCGUUGUUCGGAAUUACUGGGCGUAAAGGGCGCGUAGGCGGCCUUCUAAGUCGAACGUGAAAUCCCCGGGCUCAACCCGGGAACUGCGUCCGAUACUGGAAGGCUUGAAUCCGGGAGAGGGAUGCGGAAUUCCAGGUGUAGCGGUGAAAUGCGUAGAUAUCUGGAGGAACACCGGUGGCGAAGGCGGCAUCCUGGACCGGCAUUGACACUGAUGAGCGAAAGCUAGGGGAGCAAACGGG
Molecule: ribosomal RNA, 253 nt
Filed under: uncultured bacterium
Lineage: Bacteria
Description: partial 16S ribosomal RNA
Rfam family: Bacterial small subunit ribosomal RNA
Source: RNAcentral